UGGUCUGCAAAGAGAUGACUGU
Molecule: microRNA, 22 nt
Filed under: Homo sapiens (human)
Lineage: Eukaryota; Metazoa; Chordata; Mammalia; Primates; Hominidae
Description: hsa-miR-4527
Source: miRBase by way of RNAcentral